RNAcentral lists this ribosomal RNA (276 nucleotides) under uncultured bacterium. RNAcentral describes it as "partial 16S ribosomal RNA". It matches the Rfam family "Bacterial small subunit ribosomal RNA", at positions 82 to 354 of the family's 1533-position model. The record is from RNAcentral.
CCGUUGCCGGCAACCGGCGCACGGGUGAGUAACACGUAUGCAACCUGCCCGUGGCAGGGGGAUAAGCGGGGGAAACCCCGUCUAAUACCGCGUAACGCGGCCUUGGGGCAUCCCAAGGCCGCCAAAGGGAGCAAUCCCGGCCACGGAUGGGCAUGCGGCGCAUUAGCUAGUCGGCGGGGUAACGGCCCACCGAGGCGACGAUGCGUAGGGGUUCUGAGAGGAAGGCCCCCCACACUGGUACUGAGACACGGACCAGACUCCUACGGGAGGCAGCAG